Molecule: ribosomal RNA, 461 nt
Filed under: uncultured Lactobacillus sp.
Lineage: Bacteria; Bacillati; Bacillota; Bacilli; Lactobacillales; Lactobacillaceae
Description: bacterial SSU rRNA
Rfam family: Bacterial small subunit ribosomal RNA
Source: RNAcentral
CAGAUUUACUUCGGUAAUGACGUUGGGAAAGCGAGCGGCGGAUGGGUGAGUAACACGUGGGGAACCUGCCCCUAAGGCUGGGAUACCAUUUGGAAACAGGUGCUAAUACCGGAUAAUAAAGCAGAUCGCAUGAUCAGCUUUUGAAAGGCGGCGUAAGCUGUCGCUAAGGGAUGGCCCCGCGGUGCAUUAGCUAGUUGGUAAGGUAACGGCUUACCAAGGCGACGAUGCAUAGCCGAGUUGAGAGACUGAUCGGCCACAUUGGGACUGAGACACGGCCCAAACUCCUACGGGAGGCAGCAGUAGGGAAUCUUCCACAAUGGACGCAAGUCUGAUGGAGCAACGCCGCGUGAGUGAAGAAGGUUUUCGGAUCGUAAAGCUCUGUUGUUGGUGAAGAAGGAUAGAGGUAGUAACUGGCCUUUAUUUGACGGUAAUCAACCAGAAAGUCACGGCUAACUACGUGC